This 387-nucleotide ribosomal RNA is filed under the name uncultured haloarchaeon. Its description in RNAcentral is "bacterial SSU rRNA". It matches the Rfam family "Archaeal small subunit ribosomal RNA", at positions 1 to 388 of the family's 1478-position model. The record is from RNAcentral. Lineage: Archaea; Methanobacteriati; Methanobacteriota; Halobacteria; Halobacteriales; Halobacteriaceae.
AUUCCGGUUGAUCCUGCCGGAGGCCAUUGCUAUCGGAGUCCGAUUUAGCCAUGCUAGUCGUGCGAGUUCAGACUCGCGGCACCGAGCUCAGUAACACGUGGCCAAACUACCCUACAGAGACGGAUACCCUCGGGAAACUGAGGUUAACCCGUCAUACCGAUCUCAGGCUUGAAUCGCAGAGAUCACAAAACGCCCCGGCGCUGUAGGAUGUGGCUGCGGUUGAUUAGGUAGACGGUGGGGUAACGGCCCACCGUGCCCAUAAUCAGUACAGGUUGUGAGAGCAAGAACCUGGAGACGGAAUCUGAGACAAGAUUCCGGGCCCUACGGGGCGCAGCAGGCGCGAAACCUUUACACUGCACGCACGUGCGAUAAGGGGACUCCGAGUGC